This 370-nucleotide RNase P RNA is filed under the name Arthrobacter russicus. RNAcentral's name for it is "RNase P RNA component class A". It matches the Rfam family "Bacterial RNase P class A". Rfam says of the family: Ribonuclease P (RNase P) is a ubiquitous endoribonuclease, found in archaea, bacteria and eukarya as well as chloroplasts and mitochondria. Its best characterised activity is the generation of mature 5'-ends of tRNAs by cleaving the 5'-leader elements of precursor-tRNAs. The record is from RNAcentral. Lineage: Bacteria; Bacillati; Actinomycetota; Actinomycetes; Micrococcales; Micrococcaceae.
UGGGGCAGCUGGACGAUCGCGUGUUGUGCGAACAACCCGAGGAACGUCCGGGCUCCGUAGAGCAAGGUGGUGGGUAACGCCCACUCGGGGCAACCCGCAGGCCAGUGCCACAGAAAACAGACCGCCUCUGCUUGCAGAGGUAAGGGUGAAACGGCGGUGUAAGAGACCACCGCUUUCCAGGUGACUGGAAAGGCAAGGUAAACCCCACUUGGAGCAAGGCCAGACAGGGCACGUUCGAGGGCUGCUCGCCCGAGUGUCCGGGUAGGCCGCUAGAGGGCGUCGGCAACGGCGUCCGUAGAUGGAUGAUCGUCGCCGCCGGACCGGCAACGGUCCGGCGGAACAGAACCCGGCGUACAGGCUGCCCCAUCCG